CAAUAGCGUAUAUUUAAGUUGUUGCAGUUAAAAAGCUCGUAGUUGGAUUUCGGUUAAGAGCGACCGGUCCGCCGUUUGGUGUGCACUGGUUGGUUUUAACUUCCUGUAGAGGACGUGCUCUGGGUUUAACGACCUGGACUCGGAGUCUACGUGGUUACUUUGAAAAAAUUAGAGUGUUCAAAGCGGGCUUACGCUUGAAUAUUUCAGCAUGGAAUAACACUAUAGGACUCCUGGCCUAUUUCGUUGGUCUCGGGACGGGAGUAAUGAUUAAGAGGAACAGUUGGGGGCAUUCGUAUUUCAUUGUCAGAGGUGAAAUUCUUGGAUUUAUGAAAGACGAACUUCUGCGAAAGCAUUUGCCAAGGAUGUUUNCAUUA
RNAcentral lists this ribosomal RNA (374 nucleotides) under uncultured eukaryote. Its description in RNAcentral is "partial 18S ribosomal RNA". It matches the Rfam family "Eukaryotic small subunit ribosomal RNA", at positions 592 to 975 of the family's 1831-position model. The record is from RNAcentral.